RNAcentral lists this ribosomal RNA (665 nucleotides) under uncultured Smithella sp. RNAcentral describes it as "bacterial SSU rRNA". It matches the Rfam family "Bacterial small subunit ribosomal RNA", at positions 10 to 651 of the family's 1533-position model. The record is from RNAcentral. Lineage: Bacteria; Pseudomonadati; Thermodesulfobacteriota; Syntrophia; Syntrophales; Smithellaceae.
AGUUUGAUCCUGGCUCAGAACAAACGCUGGCGGCGUGCCUAACACAUGCAAGUCGUACGAGAAAGUCGGCUUCGGCCGAUGAGUACAGUGGCGCACGGGUGAGUAACGCGUGGGUAAUCUACCCCUCGGUCAGGAAUAACCCGCCGAAAGGCGGGCUAAUACCCGAUAACACUGACGCUCUGCGGAGUGUCUUUCAAAGAAGGCCUCUGUUUACAAGCUUUCGCCGGAGGAUGAGCCCGCGUACCAUUAGCUAGUUGGCAGGGUAAUGGCCUACCAAGGCAACGAUGGUUAGCUGGUCUGAGAGGAUGGCCAGCCACACUGGAACUGAGACACGGUCCAGACUCCUACGGGAGGCAGCAGUGAGGAAUCUUGCGCAAUGGGGGAAACCCUGACGCAGCAACGCCGCGUGAGUGAGGAAGGCCUUCGGGUCGUAAAGCUCUGUCAGAUGGGAAGAAAUGGGUGGGGGCUAAUAUCGUCCACCCUUGACGGUACCAUCAGAGGAAGCACCGGCUAACUCCGUGCCAGCAGCCGCGGUAAUACGGGGGGUGCAAGCGUUGUUCGGAAUCAUUGGGCGUAAAGCGCGCGCAGGCGGCUUGGUAAGUCAGAUGUGAAAUCCCUGGGCUUACCCCAGGAAGUGCAUUUGAUACUGCCUCGCUAGAGUACGG